GAUGAACGCUGGCGGCGUGCCUAACACAUGCAAGUCGAGCGAUUCUCUUCGGAGAAGAGCGGCGGACGGGUGAGUAACGCGUGGGUAACCUGCCCUGUACACACGGAUAACAUACCGAAAGGUAUGCUAAUACGGGAUAACAUAAGAAAUUCGCAUGUUUUCUUAUCAAAGCUCCGGCGGUACAGGAUGGACCCGCGUCUGAUUAGCUAGUUGGUGAGGUAACGGCUCACCAAGGCGACGAUCAGUAGCCGACCUGAGAGGGUGAUCGGCCACAUUGGAACUGAGACACGGUCCAAACUCCUACGGGAGGCAGCAGUGGGGAAUAUUGCACAAUGGGCGAAAGCCUGAUGCAGCAACGCCGCGUGAGCGAUGAAGGCCUUCGGGUUGUAAACUGCUUUUGUACGGAACGAAAAGACUCCUUCUAAUAAAGGGGGUCCAUGACGGUACCGUAAGAAUAAGCACCGGCUAACUACGUG
RNAcentral lists this ribosomal RNA (476 nucleotides) under uncultured bacterium. Its description in RNAcentral is "bacterial SSU rRNA". It matches the Rfam family "Bacterial small subunit ribosomal RNA", at positions 28 to 507 of the family's 1533-position model. The record is from RNAcentral.